GAAAAUGAAAGCUAUGGGCCAAGUGCUAUCUAAAGCUAGAGAGCAGCUCUAUGAUUGCAAGCUCGUGACAACGAAACUGAGAGCAAUGCUGCAAUCUGCGGAUGAGCAAGUCAGAGGGUUGAAGAGGCAGAGCACUUUUUUGAGCCAAUUAGCUGCAAAGACUAUACCGAAUGGGAUUCACUGCUUGUCCAUGCGUUUGACUAUUGAUUAUUAUCUCCUUCCUCCUGAAAAAAGAAAGUUCCCAAGAAGCGAGAAUCUGGAAAAUCCUGAUCUCUUCCAUUAUGCCCUAUUUUCUGAUAAUGUUUUGGCUGCUUCAGUCGUUGUCAACUCAACUAUCGUGAAUGCUAAGGAACCAGAGAAACAUGUCUUUCAUCUAGUCAGUGAUAAAUUGAACUUUGGAGCUAUGAACAUGUGGUUUUUGUUGAACCCUCCUGGAAAAGCUACAAUCCAUGUUGAGAAUGUAGAUGAAUUCAAGUGGCUUAAUUCUUCAUAUUGUCCUGUCCUGCGGCAGCUAGAAUCUGCUGCUAUGAAAGAAUACUAUUUCAAGGCUGCUCAUCCCAACACCCUAUCUGCUGGUUCUUCUAACUUGAAGUACCGGAACCCCAAAUAUCUUUCAAUGCUCAAUCACCUAAGGUUUUAUUUCCCUCAGGUUUAUCCAAAAUUG
RNAcentral lists this unclassified non-coding RNA (664 nucleotides) under Hevea brasiliensis (rubber tree). The record is from RNAcentral. Lineage: Eukaryota; Viridiplantae; Streptophyta; Magnoliopsida; Malpighiales; Euphorbiaceae.